RNAcentral lists this ribosomal RNA (400 nucleotides) under uncultured bacterium. RNAcentral's name for it is "partial 16S ribosomal RNA". It matches the Rfam family "Bacterial small subunit ribosomal RNA", at positions 360 to 776 of the family's 1533-position model. The record is from RNAcentral.
AAUAUUGUACAAUGGAGGAAACUCUGAUGUAGCGACGCCGCGCGAGUGAAGAAGGUCUUCGGAUCGUAAAACUCUGUCCUUGGUGAAGAAGAAAUGACGGUAGCCACGGAGGAAGCCCCGGCUAACUACGUGCCAGCAGCCGCAGUAAUACGUCGGGGGCGAGCGUUGUCCGGAUUUACUGGGUGUAAAGGGUGAGUAGGCGGUUAUAUAUGUCAGAUGUGAAAAGCUAUGGCUUAACCAUAGUUAGCAUUUGAAACUGUAUGACUUGAGUGCAGGAGAGGUAAGUGGAAUUCCUAGUGUAGCGGUGAGAUGCGUAGAUAUUAGGAGGAACACCAGUGGCGAAGGCGACUUACUGGACUGUAACUGACGCUGAGUCACGAAAGCGUGGGUAGCAAACAGG